RNAcentral lists this ribosomal RNA (253 nucleotides) under uncultured bacterium. Its description in RNAcentral is "partial 16S ribosomal RNA". It matches the Rfam family "Bacterial small subunit ribosomal RNA", at positions 524 to 776 of the family's 1533-position model. The record is from RNAcentral.
UACGGGGGGGGCAAGCGUUGUUCGGAAUUACUGGGCGUAAAGGGCGCGUAGGCGGCCUGCUAAGUCGGACGUGAAAUCCCUCGGCUCAACCGGGGAACUGCGUCCGAUACUGGUGGGCUUGAAUCCGGGAGAGGGAUGUGGAAUUCCAGGUGUAGCGGUGAAAUGCGUAGAUAUCUGGAGGAACACCGGUGGCGAAGGCGGUUCUCUGGUCUGAUUCUGACGCUGAGGAGCGAAAGCCAGGGGAGCAAACGGG